AAGGCAUGCCUUUCUAGAACCUUGCGUCUAAAACAAAGGUGCACACCUAGUCGCAUAAGGCGCUAGAGUUUGAGCUUGGUGAGCCUUAAGCCAGAGGCGCGCCUUUAAUAACUAUGUUUUAGGCUCUGGAAAAUUCAUCUCUUAUGUCAGAGAAAAUAAAGAAUUUGUAUUAAUACCUUAGCCUGCCUAGUGGUGAGGGGGUGCCAAGAUUCAAAUCUCGCUAAUGAUAGAUCCCUCUCCCUCAAUACUACAAAAGAGAAAAAAAAAUCGUGUAUUUUAAAUGAUUGCAUUAAAUAUCUUUGUUCAUUCCUAAACUUUAGUGCCACCAGGUCGAAGUUGGAAAGCAUCUGAACUGCGCCUGAAGUCUUGGGAUGAUCUUCAUAAACUGUGGUAUGUUUUAUUAAAGGAGAAAAACAUGCUGAUGACUCAACGCCAGAUGCUUCAUGCCCAGAAACUAAGAUUCCCAAAUCCAGAGCGCUUACCCAAGGUGUAACUUACUUUCUUUUGCUUUUAAUUUGAGACAGCACGUGACUAUGGCGACUCUUGGCUCUUCAAACAUUGUAUUUGAUCUUCCAAUGUCUAUGGCUAAUUUAAAUGAGAUGCUAAUUUACUGUUCAAAAUAGUGAAUUGCUAAAAUAAAUGUGUUUUUGGUCAGGCUGCUCUUUAUGCCAUAUUGCCAUUGCAUCACCCAAGGAAGGAUUUGGUCCUGGUUUUGUUCUGUUAAUCUGAGCAUUCUUCUUCAUUAUCUGAAAAGAUGUUUAUGGCUUUCUAUGAUUCUGUUAUUUUUUUGGUAGCUAUUAAGUCACUAGUUGAAGGUAGCUAUUAAGCCUUCCCUGGCUUUGCAAGAAGGUAGUCUCCCUGUUGUGAGUCCUAUAUCUCCAGAUUGGAACCUAGAAUGGAACAACCUUAUUGUUGCACCAAGUCUCUUUGUCAUACUCGUCAUAUUUAAGUUCAGUUGUAAUUCAGAAAUGGUUUGCUAGAGAAGGGAUUAAUUACCUCUGCCUAUGUUAUGUAUUUAUAUUGGAUCUGACUUAUAAGAAGACUACAUUCUUUGUCAUGCCAUUAGCAGAGGCACUGUCUUUGUGACUUUGUUGGUCUGACUGAUACGGGAAACUUAACAACAGUGUUGUACUACUACGAACCUUGAAUAUCAAAAGGUUUCAAUCUUCAAUACCUUAAUUGAAAUAGGUGUCAUAUUCUAGCUGUAUUCAAUUGGUAUUAGGUAUGAUAGGCAGAGCCAGGUUUUGCUUGUGAAAAGUGAAAAGCUCCUUAACUUAGCUUGAUGCUACUAUUGCCACCUAACAUUAGGUAGAAAGCAGUUAUGUAAUGUUCGGAGCUGUAGUAUGCGAACCUGACUAAUUUGUUUAAUCAUCGCCAUGCCAGUGAGUCCUUAUGAUCAGCUUGAGAUGAGAUGCAAUAUCUCACUUGCACUUCUUUUAACAAUCUGCGUUAUACUGGAUUGGAAACACGCUAGAUAUGGGGAGUAUGAUGCUUUAGGUGACUAUGGAUAGCUAGUUCUGGCUUAACUUCCAAGUCUAAUGAAUUGGUUCCAUGGCAUAUGAUGCUUAAACUCUAUUAUUGGAACCAAUUAGAUUCUUGUAUACUGGGAAUUCUGUUGAUGGAUCCAGUUUCAGUGUGAUGUUUAUCUGUUUAGCUA
Molecule: unclassified non-coding RNA, 1657 nt
Filed under: Hevea brasiliensis (rubber tree)
Lineage: Eukaryota; Viridiplantae; Streptophyta; Magnoliopsida; Malpighiales; Euphorbiaceae
Source: RNAcentral